GACGAACGCUGGCGGCGUGCUUAACACAUGCAAGUCGAGCGGAAAGGCCCUUCGGGGUACUCGAGCGGCGAACGGGUGAGUAACACGUGAGUAACCUACCCCAGACUUUGGGAUAACCCUCGGAAACGGGGGCUAAUACCGGAUACGACACAGCUUCGCAUGGGGUCUGUGUGGAAAGUUUUUCGGUUUGGGAUGGGCUCGCGGCCUAUCAGCUUGUUGGUGGGGUGAUGGCCUACCAAGGCGACGACGGGUAGCCGGCCUGAGAGGGCGACCGGCCACACUGGGACUGAGACACGGCCCAGACUCCUACGGGAGGCAGCAGUGGGGAAUAUUGCACAAUGGGCGGAAGCCUGAUGCAGCGACGCCGCGUGAGGGAUGACGGCCUUCGGGUUGUAAACCUCUUUCAGCAGGGACGAAGCGUAAGUGACGGUACCUGCAGAAGAAGCGCCGGCCAACUACGUG
RNAcentral lists this ribosomal RNA (462 nucleotides) under uncultured bacterium. RNAcentral's name for it is "partial 16S ribosomal RNA". It matches the Rfam family "Bacterial small subunit ribosomal RNA", at positions 28 to 507 of the family's 1533-position model. The record is from RNAcentral.